This 504-nucleotide ribosomal RNA is filed under the name Achelous acuminatus. RNAcentral describes it as "partial 16S ribosomal RNA". It matches the Rfam family "Archaeal large subunit ribosomal RNA", at positions 1922 to 2676 of the family's 2987-position model. The record is from RNAcentral. Lineage: Eukaryota; Metazoa; Arthropoda; Malacostraca; Decapoda; Portunidae.
UCUGCUAAGAGGUUAUUUGUAGUCUAGCCUGCUCAGUGAUAUUAAUAUUAAAUAGCCGCGGUAUUUUGACCGUGCAAAGGUAGCAUAAUCAAUAGUUUCUUAAUUGGAAGCUUGAAUGAAUGGUUGGACAAAGAAACAACUGUCUCUUCUGUUAAAAUUGAACUUAACUUUUAAGUGAAAAGGCUUGAAUUACCCAGGAAGACGAUAAGACCCUAUAAAGCUUUAUAAGUUUAUAAAUUUUGUAUAUUUAACCUAAAAAUAAUUUUUUAGGUGCUUAUUUGGUUGGGGCGACAAAAGUAUAAUUACAUUGAUUUUUUAUUUAAAAAUAAUGGAUCCUUCUGUGAAGAAUAAAAGUUCAAGUUACUUUAGGGAUAACAGCGUAAUUUUUUCUGAGAGUACCUAUCGAAGGAAAGGUUUGCGACCUCGAUGUUGAAUUAAAAUGUCUUUAUAGUGCAGCAGCUAUAUAAGAAGGUCUGUUCGACCUUUAAUAUUUUACAUGAUUUG